This 113-nucleotide ribosomal RNA is filed under the name candidate division CSSED10-310 bacterium. Lineage: Bacteria; candidate division CSSED10-310. The record is from RNAcentral.
CCCGGUGGGUAUAGCGGAGGGGCCACACCCGUUCCCAUCUCGAACACGGAAGUUAAGACCUCCAGCGCCGAUGGUACUGCAGGAAACUGUGGGAGAGUAGGACGCUGCCGGGA